AUUGAACGCUGGCGGCAGGCCUAACACAUGCAAGUCGAGCGGCAGCGGAAAGUAGCUUGCUACUUUGCCGGCGAGCGGCGGACGGGUGAGUAAUGUCUGGGAAACUGCCUGAUGGAGGGGGAUAACUACUGGAAACGGUGGCUAAUACCGCAUAACGUCGCAAGACCAAAGUGGGGGACCUUCGGGCCUCACGCCAUCGGAUGUGCCCAGAUGGGAUUAGCUAGUAGGUGGGGUAAUGGCUCACCUAGGCGACGAUCCCUAGCUGGUCUGAGAGGAUGACCAGCCACACUGGAACUGAGACACGGUCCAGACUCCUACGGGAGGCAGCAGUGGGGAAUAUUGCACAAUGGGCGCAAGCCUGAUGCAGCCAUGCCGCGUGUGUGAAAAAGGCCUUCGGGUUGUAAAGCACUUUCAGCGAGGAGGAAGGCAUCAUACUUAAUACGUGUGGUGAUUGACGUUACUCGCAGAAGAAGCACCGGCUAACUCCGUGCCAGCAGCCGCGGUAAUACGGAGGGUGCAAGCGUUAAUCGGAAUUACUGGGCGUAAAGCGCACGCAGGCGGUUUGUUAAGUCANAUGUGAAAUCCCCGCGCUUAACGUGGGAACUGCAUUUGAAACUGGCAAGCUANA
This 628-nucleotide ribosomal RNA is filed under the name uncultured prokaryote. RNAcentral describes it as "bacterial SSU rRNA". It matches the Rfam family "Bacterial small subunit ribosomal RNA", at positions 28 to 645 of the family's 1533-position model. The record is from RNAcentral.